GUAAGCUGAAUGAUACAAAACCUAUCUGAAUGAAGAAGGCAUCUAGUGAUUACUCUCGAUAUAUGCUUUUCUCUAUGGUAGCUCCAAGGAAUAAGGAAGCCAAAAAGGUGAGGAGAUUUAGGAUUACUAAGCAGAUUCACAGAUCAAGGACUGAUUUUUAAUAAAGUAACCCCGAUAGCCAAAGAAAAAGUCCCACCACAGCAAAAAAGGAACAAGAUUUCUGGUACAUAAUACAUAAGGAAAUUUAACUUAAACAAAAUCUUUCUUUCUUUUGAAUAGGGCCCAUAGAGACAUGAAUAUUGAUUGUGGCUUCAUCAAGGUUCUGAUCUCAUUAAGUCUUAAAGAGGAAUAGAUUUAAAUCUAGACACAUGGAUCCAAACAGUAUAUCCCUGGAAUUUAACUACCAUCCAUCACUCAAAUGGCCCUCCAGACUAUUACUUCUCAAUCAGACUUCUAUCAUGGACCACUCGAUAGACCCGAUUUUUAAAUGGGGACUCCAAACUGCUUGCCCCACAUCUUCCCUUUUCAGCCUGAAGAAGCCAGAAAGAUCUUCUUCGCCCCCCUUCCUUAUAGCAGUAAGGAGUUCCCAACUUAGAGGGGGGAAUGAAGCCAGAUUUAAAGUUAGAUAGUCAGUGUAGUUAGGUAAAUCGGGUCUAAUAUCGAGUGAAAUCUGAAAUGGAGACCAUGCAGAGAAUGACUCAGGGAAAACACAGGACAACUCAUGGAAUGUUAAUGAAGUCCCAAAAGGCCCUAGGCCAAAGUCCACCUCAAAGAAAUGUUAAUGAACAGCCCCCAGCAAAAAGGUGCCUGACUCAGAAGUCCUUCCCGACCAGAUUACUUCUUUGGCCCACCUAUGUCCCAACCCUCGGUCCUUCCCACCUACAUUCCAUCACUGAAAGAACUAUAAAAAGGGGAGACAACAUCCCUUCCACGGAUUCCACCUCUUGGGUCCCCUUCUUCCUCCGGGAGAAGUCUUUUCUGCUGUCCUUUAAUAAACUUCUAAUUUCUACUCUGAAAAAAAAAAAAAAAGAUAUAAACUCCAAGUUGAAAUGUUGGUGUCUGAGGUGAGUUUUCAAGAGCCAGAGGACCUUGUUAGUAUAUUAAUCCUUUAUGCUGAGGAGUCCCAUCAACUCUGGUUACUAGACAAGUUUGAUUGGAAAGAGGUCCAGGAGUUUCAAUCAAUGGAGAAAAUCAAACCCCCAUGUCCAAAGGGCAAUUAACAUUACUUGCCACAUCAAAUAUAGCAAAAUUACCCAACGCUCUUCUGAAAUGAUUCCAGUUGAUUGAAGAGAACUCUAGAAAGCUCAGGUAUCCUCAGUCUUUCAGGGCAGAUCAACUAUCUUAUCUCUUAUGAUUUCCCUCUUUGCAGAAGGGGCAUAACUCAGGUGUGGGUGGACUCUGGGGCAGUCCUUGCUCCAGGGUCCAGGAUCACUGCAAUGGUAGCAGCCUCUGGGAUUAGAGUUAUUUUUCCCCUAUUUUAUAUAGCGCCUUGGGGCACCUUUGAGGACAGGGGGUUUUGCCUAAGGUAAGGUGAGCAGUUAGGCCUGUUCUGAAGCCUGGAUUCAUCUCUUUGGAGCCUUCUUAUUUUCCACUCUCUAACUUAUAUUGGAGCCAAGCUGUGUUACAGAAAAAAAGAUCAGUUUCUUUUUCCUCUAGUGCUCUGCCUUCAAAUAAUUUCAGUUAUUUAAUAUGUACCUGAGGUUAGUUCUCAGAGAAAGACACUGAAUUACCCAUAAUCUUGUAAGCACAUGUUCAAAGCUUUCCUUAUAUCUUUCUGGGAAAAAAAAUCUAAAGAAAAACAGGACACUUUUUAAAGUUCCUUCUGUAUAAUUCAUGAGUUUCUAAACUGGGAUGAGACAUUGCUCUAUCACCAACUGCCACAUCAGGAAUCUUAUUUUGUAAGUUUUCCAUGAGACUCAUACAUUCCCAUAGUGAACCUGGAUGAGCAGCACUGGCCUAUCUCACUUUACUGUCUACCUUUGGGUUUGGGGUCCUUGCAACUGGGGAAGCAGCCUUGAUUGGAAAUAAAUAGGCUAGAUCAUUCCUUCUGUUAA
This is a long non-coding RNA of Marmota monax (woodchuck), 2054 nucleotides long. RefSeq lists it as uncharacterized. Lineage: Eukaryota; Metazoa; Chordata; Mammalia; Rodentia; Sciuridae. The transcript is spliced from 2 exons. The record is from RefSeq and is a predicted model, not a curated record.